CCUGGGCGGGUGAGAGGAGGAGGAGGGGCUCUCUGAGGGGCUCUCUGCGGCACAACAACGUGGCUGACCGCGCUUUGGCUGGCUGGCUAUGGAGUGAUCUCACUCCUCUACUGCUCCACGCAGUCAGUCAGUCCCUUCCUUGCUUGCUUGCUUCGCCCUAACCCACCACCUCCUCGUCACACCGCAUGCCACUACCAUGCCUCUGUAAUUCCCUCCCCCUAACGCGCCCUGCAUCGUGUCCAUGGCGACACUCGAGGCGGGUAAGACCGCCGAGGACCUUCGCCGCGAGAUCGACGAACUCCAGCGCCAACAGCGAGAGAUUAAUGAGCGACUACGAGAUCCCAGAGGGCUACGGAAAAAUGGUCCUCAAGGCGGCACAGCGAGAAACAUUGAUGCUAACGGCCCACACCUGCGCAAUAAUGCCUCGCGAGGGGUCAUCAGGCGGGUGGAAGGCUUUGGUGGGGAAGACCAACGUCCCAGAAAGAGAAGACUACUGUCGGCUGUGGUGAAGGUUACGGAAGAGGUGGAGUCUACUGAAAAUGAGAAGGAAAAAGAAGGAAAUGAAGAGGUUCAUCCUGAUAAAGAUGAUGCAGAUGAAGAAAAUGAUGUCGCUGAUCGGCGGCCAACGCUCCAACGCAAUUACAACGCAGACGAUUCCAAUUCACUUCCAUCAACCGAUUCACAGCGAAGGGGGCGCUCCGACUCAAACACGCGCACUCCUAGUGCAGGCGGACAUCGUUCAGGGGGACCAGGAGGUCCCGGAGGGCCAAGAAGGUUACCUAGAGAGAGGGGCUUCCUUGUUCGUGUCAGCAAUCCAGUUGGCCAACAUCAGAUUGAAGAUGCACAAGCUGGUGAGCCAGUACCGAGGGUUCUGCCCAAGACAAGUGAUCCCAAUGUUGCUAAGCGAAACCGACGGAUGUUUGGAGCUCUUUUAGGUACUCUGGAGAAAUUUAGGCAGGAGGAUAAAAAGCUGUCUGGAUCCGAAUCAUUCCAACGUCGAUCUGAGCAGUUGAGGAAGGCAGAGCAGAAGGCGCAAGAAGAAAGUGAACGUUUACGUCAGCAAGAGAAAGAAGCUUUGGCAGAGAAACGAAGAGCUGAUCUGACUUUACGUGCAAAAUUGGCCGCUGAAGCUGAAGUUAAGCAACUAGAACUCCUUUUUCUGCAGUGGGCAGAACAUCAUACUCGGCUUGCCUCUUUCAUCAGAACAAAAGCGGGGCCCGGAAUUUAUUAUCUACCAGUUAAGUCUUGUGAAAAGACGGACAAUCUGCUUCAGGAAGCUCAGCAGGAACUGGCAGAAUGGAAGACCAGAUCACGUGAAGAACUGUCUGAGUGUCAGAGGCAGAUUUCUGAACUUAACAUGGCGAACUUGGAUGUUGAGAUUGAGAGAUGGAAAAAUGGACCUCCUGGGCGAUCCAAAGUCUCCAGUGACAUACUGACUGCUGAGGCAAAUACAGUUGGAGAUGGUGAUGACAAAGUCCUCGAGCAAGCUGGAGAAGGAAUCGAUGUUGUUGAAGACGAAGAUGACGAAACUGGUGCCAUGGUUAUAGAAGAUGAGGAAAGGGUAAUAUCUGAGGAGGCGGAGACUAACAAAUUGAUCAGCGUGUAGAUGUGAAGCAAGUGAAGGGAUAGCACCAAGUUUCUACUUGUGCUAUGCUGCUGAAGAAACCUCGGUACGGCGGCGUCAUCUGGUUGGAGCACUCUGGAGUCGCAGUGUCUGCACAUCCUUCAUCAUGGCUCAGAACUGUAAUUUCAAUUGAGAAAUUAACUGCCUGUCGAGUUCGUCCUCAAUGCGAACUUUCAUUGCCCCUCACCGCCGUUGCGAAAUUCCCUCGCUUCACGACACACGAGCGAAGUGCCAUCGCAGUACCGACGCCGGCUGCCUCACCAAUUCUUCGCCUCAGGCCCCUGCAAAUACAUGUAGAUUUCUCCACCCAAAUUCUCGUUUUGCUCGACUUCCAGUCAACCAUGUGCGAAUUUGAAACAUCACGAAAAUAGUUACUUUCUAUCAAUCACAACAACUUGGAUUGUGAAGGUGUUCGUUGUCACGUUAACGACAGAAUAUGUCGUUUCGCCGUGGCGUCCUGCAACGACGGAUGUGUUCUGAACCCCGAAAUUUGAAAUACUCUUUUGAAUUCCCCUUUUUCCAUGAAUUAUCCAGCUCUAAAGCUCACAAAUCUUGUUUCCGUCUCCUCAAGUGUCGCCGAACUCAGCUGCGGGGACAUGUGUGAAGGAAUCAGAUGAUUCAAGGGCCAGUUUUGACAUGGCUCCUCCUCUAAGAAAGCAGUGCCACUCUGGCUUUUGUUUAUCGUGGCGUGCUACGUAAUGUUCCAUACCCCUUCUCUUUCUAUUUUUGCCCCUUUAUUGCACUCAAGGCUCUUCUUCCUUCCUGUUAUUUCUAUGCAAUCUUGUUUGAAUUCGCUACCGUCCACCAACUCUGCACAGUAGGCUGAAUCUGCUCCAAUUGGUGGUCUGUGCUCUCUUCACAUCUCCUCUCUCACGCUCUCUCUCUCUCUCGCUCUUUUAGUCUUGCUAUUCCCAUUCUCACCUUGCUUAUAUGGUGCUUGGAUCUUCAAUGCCUGGAGAUUAAUGAGCAUGGAAAAGCUAUUAAAACCAAUUUUCAAAAACUGAAAAUCCGAAAUGGGGAUUGUGAUUAUCAUGCACUAUUGUACAGGCAUUGAGUGUGAAGGAUCCUGAAGCUUGGCCCACAUUAAUCUGCCUACCUAGAAAACUUGAGUGUGUUGAGAUGGGUUGAAACCAACAUGAAUUUCACGUUUCCUAGUUUUUACCAUGGAGGGGUCAAAGUCGUUGUGUGAAGAGUUGAAGAUUGCUAGUGGUGGGACCCGCUCAAUGAGAUGCAUCUGGUGCCUCUGUAGUUUUUGAGGCAAUUGUCUUAUCAUCAACAAUGUCAGAUUCAAAGGCUGCAAACUGAAGGUGGCCAUCUCUCUGAACAUCCUCAUAUGCCAUUGAAUGGCAGUAGUUAUUCUUCACUGGCCAUAAAUUUCCUUAAAUGACUUGGCACGGUAAUUCUCUGUAGCAUUUUAAUGGCUGUUCGUUGCAGUGAUGUGGAGAAGUUCCUGUGAACUUUUGUGCUAGCCUUGAUUAAGAAACCGCUCUUUCCUUUUAGUGUUA
This is a non-coding RNA of Physcomitrium patens, 3129 nucleotides long. NCBI's taxonomy places the organism in Eukaryota, Viridiplantae, Streptophyta, Bryopsida, Funariales, Funariaceae. The record is from RefSeq and is a predicted model, not a curated record.